CCUACGGGUGGCAGCAGUGGGGAAUAUUGGGCAAUGGGCGCAAGCCUGACCCAGCAACGCCGCGUGAAGGAAGAAGGCUUUCGGGUUGUAAACUUCUUUUCUCAGGGACGAAGCAAGUGACGGUACCUGAGGUAUAAGCCACGGCUAACUACGUGCCAGCAGCCGCGGUAAUACGUAAGUGGCAAGCGUUAUCCGGAUUUCCUGGGUUUAAAGGGCGUGUAGGCGGGAAAGCAAGUCAGAUGUGAAAACCAUGGGCUCAAACUGUGGCCUGCAUUUGAUACUGUUUUUCUUGAGUACUGGAGAGGCAGGCGGAAUUCGUGGUGUAGCGGUGAAAGGCGUAGAUAUAAGGAAGAACACCAGUGGCGAAGGCAGUCUACUGGACAGCAACUGACGCUGAGGCACGAAAGCGUGGGGAGCAAACAGGAUUAGAUACCCCUGUAGUC
RNAcentral lists this ribosomal RNA (443 nucleotides) under uncultured bacterium. RNAcentral's name for it is "partial 16S ribosomal RNA". It matches the Rfam family "Bacterial small subunit ribosomal RNA", at positions 338 to 795 of the family's 1533-position model. The record is from RNAcentral.